RNAcentral lists this long non-coding RNA (1081 nucleotides) under Sorghum bicolor (sorghum). RNAcentral describes it as "long non-coding RNA (SBIC_LNC009858)". The record is from RNAcentral. Lineage: Eukaryota; Viridiplantae; Streptophyta; Magnoliopsida; Poales; Poaceae.
CUGGUAAUUUUAAGAAAAGAAAUCCAUUAUUUUGGAACCAUGACAUUUUUUCAGAUGGAUUUUAUUGUAGCUAGCAUAUUUUAGAACCAUGACUGCACUUAGAAACCACUUCAAGUUGAGAUUGCCAGCCUAAUAAAUUAUGAUUGUUCUCCAAUGUUCCCAAACAUAGUCAAUAAUUCUUAUAGAAUGUUAAAUUCUGAGCUGUAGCUGCCUCCUGCAUAAAAUUGGUUAUAUGACAGUGUAGAUGCAUACAAUGUUUUCUUGUCAUUCAUUGUGUAUAUAUUAUAAUAACUUACUUUCAGUUAACUAUCGGUAAUUGACAAUCAAAGUUGUCUGCAAUUAUCAUUCUUAUAACUAUUUAUGAGAUUGCCAAAGUUGAUUGAUAGAAAAUAUUUCCAAUUCUUUGCAUUGCAACCCGAUCUGUGGGCUGUUUUCUCAGUGCUUACAUUCAUGGUAUUAUGCAUUUAGUAGUUGAACAGAACAUAGUGAUAUCCCCAAAAUAAGUUUCUUUUUGAAGGGUCACCAGCUAGCACAAUAUAGAUAUCCCCAUCUGAAUAACAUUAUUGCAUUGUUGAAUGGUGAUUGGUGAGUGGCUUAAUAGAACUGUUUACAUGCUGUUGGAUAGCUAGGGGGUUCAGAAGAGAUAUAUUUACAUUAGUGGAUAGAGUAAUAGAUAAGUUGAAGUGAAAGUUUUGCCUUGGCCACACACGGUUAUCAAUUUAUUCUACAUAUGUGAAUGAUGCUUGGCCCAUUCUAUAAAUCAUGGAUGAUAUGUCAGUGAAAGUAAAGAAAGAUAUGUCAAUCAGUAAAUGUGUGUUUGUUGGUAGCAUAAGAGCAGGUACAAUAAUGGGUUUAUAGCCAAGCUAAUGCUGAUGUGGAGGAGAGAAGAGAGGAGAGAGAUGAUAGCUUGGCUCUUAUGUAAGCACCAAGCUGGGCACGGAUGCAUAGGUAGUAGUGGGCCCAAAUAGCAACUGUUGUGAGAAAGAAUAGGAAAGAGAAUAUGUUUUAGAGACAAGUAUGAGACAACUUAUUGUAUAACUUGGCUCUAAUCACUUGGCUUAUAGUCAAGCACUUGGCUCUA